GGGUUCGGGUCCCAAUCGGUUUUUCGGUUUAAAAGUACUUGAUUUUUACCUAUUUUAUAACCAAAACAUGACUAAAAUUGGUUCUUUAGUUUUAAAAUAUCUGAUUUGUACCUAUUUUGUAACCAAAACUUAAGUAAAAUCGAUUCAAAAAUAAGGAACAUAAAAGAAAACUAAAUAAAUAAAAACAUAAAACGAAAACCAAGUUCUCAUGAAAUGAGAAACAUUGUUUAACGAAAACAAAAUCAAAA
This 248-nucleotide long non-coding RNA is filed under the name Brassica rapa (field mustard). Its description in RNAcentral is "long non-coding RNA (BRAP_LNC000069)". The record is from RNAcentral. Lineage: Eukaryota; Viridiplantae; Streptophyta; Magnoliopsida; Brassicales; Brassicaceae.